RNAcentral lists this non-coding RNA (117 nucleotides) under Nomascus leucogenys (northern white-cheeked gibbon). The record is from Rfam by way of RNAcentral. Lineage: Eukaryota; Metazoa; Chordata; Mammalia; Primates; Hylobatidae.
GCUGGGCGUGGUGGCUCAUGCCUGUAAUCCUAGCACUUUGGGAGGCAGAGGCGGGAGGAUGACUUGAGCCCAGGAGUUUGAGACCAGCCUGGGCAACAUAGUGAGACCCUGUCUCUA